CCUCGAAAUACUAGCCAGAGCAAUUAGACAGAAAAAAGAAAUUAAAGGCAUAAAAAUAGGAAAAGAAGAACUUAAAUUAUCACUAUAUGCGGAUGAUAUGAUAAUAUAUCUAACAGACCCAAAAGGGUCUACAAAGAAACCACUAGAGCUAAUAAGUGAAUUUAGCAAAGUGGCAGGAUAUAAAAUCAACACGCAUAAAUCAAAGGCAUUCCUAUAUAUCAGCAACAAAUCUUCUG
RNAcentral lists this long non-coding RNA (236 nucleotides) under Marmota monax (woodchuck). Lineage: Eukaryota; Metazoa; Chordata; Mammalia; Rodentia; Sciuridae. The record is from RNAcentral.